AAGAGUGGUGAAUUUUCAGUUACAAUGAAAAUAACCUUUUUAGGCACUCUUA
This 52-nucleotide transfer RNA is filed under the name Gammarus nipponensis. RNAcentral describes it as "tRNA-Val". The record is from RNAcentral. Lineage: Eukaryota; Metazoa; Arthropoda; Malacostraca; Amphipoda; Gammaridae.